This 30040-nucleotide long non-coding RNA is filed under the name Citrus sinensis (sweet orange). Its description in RNAcentral is "long non-coding RNA (CSIN_LNC002107)". The record is from RNAcentral. Lineage: Eukaryota; Viridiplantae; Streptophyta; Magnoliopsida; Sapindales; Rutaceae.
UCUCUCCCACUUAAUUAGCAAGAAUUCAAUAUUAUUUGCAUUGAAUGGACAUGUGUUGCACAUUUUUGUUGAUUGUCUUGAUGUAUGUUGCUUUGGAUAAGAUAUCCGCGAAGUCUGUGGUAUAGAUAUUUUUUUUGAGAUUAAGAAUCGGUGAAGGCUUUUUCUUUUUUCUUUUUAAAUCAGAGCGGUAAAGAUUUGAAUAGGGCCGUGUGUCACUAAUAUUACUGUUUUAUAUGGCCCUAUUUUUGGUUUGCCUUUGUUUCAAUGGAUACUUAUUAAUCCUUCCUGAUCAUGUUCAUUGUUGUGAUUUUAUGGCAAUGUAUUUGUCUUUGUUACACUGCUGAAGAGAAGAAACUCUUGAGAAUUUCAAUUUAAUAUUAGUGGAUUCCCAGACAAUUGUAGAAUUGUCAUACGGAAAUAAACCUACAUUCUUCUUCCUUUUGUUUUUAGAACUUAAUUGGAUAACAUCCGUUGGACACCGUCCAUUUUUGCCUUUGUCUACGCUAAUUCCACCGCCGGUUUUAACUCCCCAGAGUGCUGACACAAGAUAAUACCUGUCGCUGGAGUCCACCUCGUUGCCAUAGACAUCUAAGAUAGGUUCAGAUUCUGAGGUGCGCAACUGAGGUUUUGUGGCCAAAGCAAGUAUAAGGAAGGAGAAUGUGGUUACCGGUGAAGCCUUCACCUUUUUUUUUUUUUUAAUUUUCUUUUUUUUUAAGGAUAGCUGCUGUUUGUUUUGUUGAUCAAUUCGGUAUUCAAGUGUAUAAAUUUAUAGAGAGCUAGGGUUAAUAUGUGAUAAGGUCUUUGUGGUAGCUGCUUGAAUGGUCAUGUAUUAUUGAGUCUUACUUUUUUCCACUUUAAGUUUAGUAAAUUUGUUAAUUUUUUGUUAUAUGGAAAUGUAGUAUGGGCGACACAUACAUAAGUUUGGUUCUCAUAUUAUAGAAGUUUAUGAGCCUAACUCUUACUUAAAAGCUAUUUUGAGAGAAAGUUCCGUCUCAAUGAUUUUAAAAAUAUCUAUAAAAAGAAGAUAUAUUUUGCUUUUAUUGAUUCAUAAGUGCAAAAUGCUCAACUUAUAAAAGAUUCAAAACACAACAAAGGAAAUGAUAAAAUUUGGGAUUGACUUGUAUUGAUUGACAAUCAAUCAUGCAAUUGUUUGCCAGAGAUAUGUUUUAUCUUUUCAUUGAUUCUUUUCAUUUUCCCUCAAGUUGGUGAGGAAAUUUGUAAACUGGGCUUGACUUAAGAUAUUGAAAACCAUUUUUGGUCUAUACUUUCUAGUGUCAUAGAAUAAAUUUAUGAAGUCGUUCCUUAAACCUUACGUAUAGAGGUGGCCAACGGGCUGUGCCGUGCCAGUUCAGGCCCAUCAAAGGAAAGUCCACGCAUGCUCGUACUCGUGCCGUGUCGUGCCCACUAUAUGUUUCGUAUCGUGUCGUGCUGUGUCUAAUUUUUUUUGUUUAGGCCCGGCCCGGCACACGUGCCGUGCCUAGAAAAAAAAGUCCACUAAGCUUUUUUAUUAUUUUUUAUUAUUUUUUUAAGAGCAUAUGCCAAGUUGUUAUCUUAUUUUUUUCAAGUCUUUGUACUUUUUUGAAUCUAUGUGCCUUUAUUCAAUUUUAAUAGAAUAAAAAAUUCAAAACUCAAGUGCAUAUUCAAUAAUAAUAAAUGAAUAAUAAUAAGAGAAUGUAAUAUUAGUUACUAAGUUUGACUCUAUGGUAUUAGAAUUCUUUUUUAGUACUUAACAACAACAAGAAUAAUAAUUUUUUUAAGGGUUAACUUAAUUGUUAACUUGAAAUUACGUAGAGUCAUAUAUCAUAGUUUAUAAUAAUAUUAAUACAUAUUUAUAAAAUCAUGAUAUUUAUAAUUUUAUUUAUUAAAAUCAGGAUAUCAACUAUUUAUUUAAUAAAUUAUAAACAUAAAUCAACUAUAAUUUUUUUGAACUAAGAUUUAAAUAAAUUUAAAAAACUUGAGCUAAUCAAAUAUAAUAAAAGAUUCAAUUUCAAGUUAUUUAUAAAAUCAUAAAAUUGUAAGUUUAUUUUCAUUAAAAAAUAAAAUGUGCUUAUUGCGUGCUUUUUUGUUUAUCGUGCUUUGGCCUAUCUCUAAUCGUGCCGUGCUUUUAAGGUUCACGUGCCUAAAAUUCUAAGCCCAGCCCAGCCCAGCCCAUAUGCGUGUGGUGCCGUGCCGCGUGCUCUACCAAAACGUGCUUGUGCCGUGCAAUACUGUACGGACAUGUGUUGUGCCUUGUGUCAUCCAGUCCAUUGGUCACCUCUACUUACGUACCACUUACUUUUACUAUUUUUAUAGUAUCCAAUAACCACAUUUGCACCAAAAUUUUGAAAGGAAAAGAAAAGCAAGAAAAGCUAAUGGAUUAUUUAUUUUAUAUUUAAUCUUGGGUAUAAAAAAAUGUAUAUUUGUUAUAAGAUUUUUUUUUAAAAAUAACGAAAAUACAAAAAAUGCUUAUUAUUAAUUUUUUUAUUCAUAAAGAAAUGUGAAUUUCUUAUUUUUAGUAUAUAUAUUUUUUAAUUUCAAUUUAUAUGAUUUAUUUAAUUUAUAAUAAAUAUGGAUAAAACUAUAUAUAAAAGUAUAAAACUAAGAGUAGUUCUGUAAUUACGGUGCCAACAAGGUUAUUGGGUAUUAUCAAAAUAAUAGGAGAUAAAUGAUAUAUAUUGAGUUUUUUUUUUUUAUAUAUAAUGGUAUAUAUUGAGUUUAGAAGAAAAAAUGGUAACUUCCCGACUUUAAUCGUAGGGUAGCGUACAAUGAACGGAUGAACGAAUAUAGCUCAAUUAGCGAUUGUCGUGGGGCCAUGCAAGGGUUGUUUGUGCGGAUCACAAAGUAAAUACCGUAGAUGAGAUAACAAAUCAUUUGGCAUCCAUAAACAUUUGACUCAAUAUGUGGUUAAUUAAUUACAGUUUCUUUUCUCUUUUAGUUAAGAGUCCUUGUGAUAAUUAGUUUAAUCAUAUAUUGAUAAGAAAAGUAAAUGUAUAAGGAGGACUGCUCUAGAAUACUCAAAGAUUUUUUCAUGCUUUGUAGAAGAAAUUCAAAUACCAUCGGUUUUUAAAAUACAUCACUUAAGUGCUUUAAAAUUUAAAUUUAUUUCAUUCAAAUAAAUUUCAUAAUAAAAAAAUAGGUGGGGCUAUUUCAAUCCACAAAUUUUUUCUCUACACUCUCUUUUUAGUUAAGAAUUUUAUUAUCUAAGUAAUUUUUGAAAAACUUACGUAAUUAACUCUUUUUUCUCCUUCUCUUAUUAAUUUCACAAAUUCUCAUCAAUUCAUUUAUAUAUAUUUUUUUAGUUGCAAAUAAUUGGUAUCAAUAACUAAGAGAAAUAAAAUCCACUACUUAAAAAUGAACACCAACAAAUUUUAUCAGUUAUAAAAGUUAAUGAAUAUCAAGUAAUUAAUUUUGUUGAUUAAUAUCAUAUUGAUUAGGAUUUGUCUAUUCAAAAUGGAAUGUAUUCCAAUUAUCAUAAGCCAGAGGAUCCAUUAAAUAAAUAACUACUUAUGAGAAUAAUCUUUCAAUCUACAUUGAUCAGACUUUGGCAUGACGACAAUUCGCCAAAAUUAAGGGAUGCUGCCAAAUCUCACAUGAUCAUGUUGUCGUGUUUUUGCUUUCUCUGCAGAAUAGGACUGAAUGAUAAGGCACCGAAAGAUUCUAUGUUACGGAUUUUAAAGGCAUUUCAUCUGGCGUUUCUCAACACAAUCGUUUGCGUAUGAGAGCGACAUUAUGAUGCCCCCACUCUAAACAUAUAAACCAAUAAUUUCAAGUAUGAAUGUAUGAAAUCAUAUAGCGUUUUAUUUUAUUUUAUUUAAGCUGCCUGUGCCUUAUUUUCUUCUUAGCACUGCUAUUUGAAUAGCCACGUGUCAGGGCGAAAGAAAAUAAUAUUAUUGCCUACACUCUAGCAAUUUACAGUGACAGUAUAACACACCAAAACCACGCAUUGUUCAUGAAAAGAAUUCUCGUUUUCGUCGGCCAGCUUGUGUAGAAAAAGUAAAUAUGAGAAUUAAUUGAGAUACUAUAUUCAAACAGAAUUUUACAUUAUAUAUAAAAGUUGUAUCAUGCUCUAAAGGAAUGAAAAUAUAUCUCUUAAUUACAAAGAUAUUUACACAAUUAAAGGCCGCAUCGUUGACUUAAUCAUGUGCAUGAUAUUCUAAUUAGAGCCAUUGAGAUGCAUCAGGUGUAUUGUUUGAGUUAUGUUCAAGCUCAAACUCUCUAUUUGUAUAAUCUCCAAUAUCUGGAAUUCCCCUUAAAAUUGAUUUGGGAAGGAAGAAUUUGUUGACUUGUCAGCUUGAUGUCAUUUUAAUUUUCUUUCUAAUAAAUACUUACAUUGUAACACAUUUUCCAGUAAAACGAUAAAAAAAAACAAGAUACGGGUAAAGUUAAAGAAGUCAAAGGUAGGGGAGGGCAAGGUAGGUGUGUGCAGAAAAAUCAGGGAACCAAAUGAAUCAAACCGAAUUGGCUGUUCGGAUCUGUUUGAAAAUCAGGAAAAAGUCCAUUAGUUUAGUUAAUUAAAUAAAAAACUGACCUAAAAACUGAAUAAUAAGAAAAAAUCAAGAUUUUAAAAGUUAAAAAAUGAAGAAAAAAGGGAACCGAAUCCGAAAUCGUAUGCAUUUCAGUUUGGUUUAGUUAGGAUCAGAAUUUUCAUCAAAUUUAUUCAGUUCAGCUCAGUUCGGCCAAAAAAUAAAAAAAAUCUGAAUCGAACUAUACCCACAAAAGGAAUAGCUCAAGGGAGACAAAUUUGGAAUAACUAAUUACAUAGCCACAUAGAUUUGUAGAAAUAAUCUUGUACAAACUGAAUUAGGAGCUUCAAUAAUAAUGUUAUAUUCACUUAGUAAUGAUAUUUAAUUGUGAUACUCAUUAAUGUGUCACCAAUAAAUUAUUUCCGUAUAUAUGGUAUCCACUAAUUUUAUUUUUAGUUUUGAAUAUAUGAUUUUUUACUACCUAAUUAAUAGAUGACAUAUAAAAUGCCACGUCACUGAAUAUCUCAUCAGAAUAAACAAGAUACUAAUCUUCGAUGAAUAAUCCUCAAAACAUCCACUUGCCAAAAACAUAAUUCAAUUGGAUGAGUGUCUGAGGUUAAUUGUAGAUUAGGUGACAACCAAGAUUGAUCGACUUUAGUUCAAUUGGCGAAUUUCGCGGAAGCAAGCGGGGUUGUUGGCGCAGAUCUGAAACUAAAAACCGUAGAUAAGCUACCUAUUGACUUUUGACUCAAUAUGUAGUUAAUUAAUUAGCAAGAAAUCCCUUAGAUAAUGAUAUAAAUUAUGUCAACUAUAGAGUUGUAUCAGAGAAGCACAGAGUGGAAUUAGAUAAAGAACAAUUUGUUUAUUUCGUGCAAUUCCAUGAGUGAAAUAACUUACAAUUAAGUAAGGAUCGUGGUCCAAUUGAUAUAUGGUAAAAGUUUUAGUUGAUUCCUUGUUGUUUGAAGAAAGAAACUCAAAGAUCAAUUUUAGAAUGUACAACUUAAGUCCUUCAAAUUUUGAAUCUAUUUCAUUCAAGUCCUUCAGUAAUGAAUUUCACCAUUAAAAAAUUGUAAAAACGUUACCAUAAAUAUAGAGUGAUAAUUAUUCCCCCAUACCUCAUAUUUGUGAUUUUAAAGUCCAUUCUACCCUUACUAAAUAAUUUUUUUUUCUUUUUCACCAUGUUAAAAAUCUUAACAGUUUGCUAAAUAAUUACAAUAGAUUUAUAGCCACAAAACUUUAAAUUUUAUCCUAUACUUUUCAUAUGCGAAUUCAACGCAAUAUUCAUGAUAUUUUUAGUUCGUUGGUAGGGAGUUGCCCAGGAAGCCAGUCAAUUAAAUUAAUUAAUUAAAGGACCCUAUCUACUGUUUAGUCUAUUAUACGUGUUAAAAAUCCCAGACCUGAGGAAUCAUCCAUUAUUGAUGAAACCUAAUACUAGCAACGAGAAAAACAUGAUAAAAAGCUGCUGAAAUCUGCACCACAAAAAAAAAAAAAAGUCUUUUUCAUUUUUUUUCUGGAGAAGAUGAAUGACGCGAGUCCCAACUCACAAGGGAUAGCAAUAGUUUGUCAUCAUGCCAAUCGCGAUUAAAUAUCAAUCGUCUAAAAUAAUAGACGAUAGCAAUAGUUUGUCAUCUGCACCACCUCAAAACAUCCACUUGCCAAAAACAUAAUUCAAUUGGAUGAGUGUCUGAGGUUAAUUGUAGAUUAGGUGACAACCAAGAUUGAUCGACUUUAGUUCAAUUGGCGAAUUUCGCGGAAGCAAGCGGGGUUGUUGGCGCAGAUCUGAAACUAAAAACCGUAGAUAAGCUACCUAUUGACUUUUGACUCAAUAUGUAGUUAAUUAAUUAGCAAGAAAUCCCUUAGAUAAUGAUAUAAAUUAUGUCAACUAUAGAGUUGUAUCAGAGAAGCACAGAGUGGAAUUAGAUAAAGAACAAUUUGUUUAUUUCGUGCAAUUCCAUGAGUGAAAUAACUUACAAUUAAGUAAGGAUCGUGGUCCAAUUGAUAUAUGGUAAAAGUUUUAGUUGAUUCCUUGUUGUUUGAAGAAAGAAACUCAAAGAUCAAUUUUAGAAUGUACAACUUAAGUCCUUCAAAUUUUGAAUCUAUUUCAUUCAAGUCCUUCAGUAAUGAAUUUCACCAUUAAAAAAUUGUAAAAACGUUACCAUAAAUAUAGAGUGAUAAUUAUUCCCCCAUACCUCAUAUUUGUGAUUUUAAAGUCCAUUCUACCCUUACUAAAUAAUUUUUUUUUCUUUUUCACCAUGUUAAAAAUCUUAACAGUUUGCUAAAUAAUUACAAUAGAUUUAUAGCCACAAAACUUUAAAUUUUAUCCUAUACUUUUCAUAUGCGAAUUCAACGCAAUAUUCAUGAUAUUUUUAGUUCGUUGGUAGGGAGUUGCCCAGGAAGCCAGUCAAUUAAAUUAAUUAAUUAAAGGACCCUAUCUACUGUUUAGUCUAUUAUACGUGUUAAAAAUCCCAGACCUGAGGAAUCAUCCAUUAUUGAUGAAACCUAAUACUAGCAACGAGAAAAACAUGAUAAAAAGCUGCUGAAAUCUGCACCACAAAAAAAAAAAAAAGUCUUUUUCAUUUUUUUUCUGGAGAAGAUGAAUGACGCGAGUCCCAACUCACAAGGGAUAGCAAUAGUUUGUCAUCAUGCCAAUCGCGAUUAAAUAUCAAUCGUCUAAAAUAAUAGUGUGGCAAUUUACAUUCUUUGGAUAAUUUUCAUUCUAGUGAAAUUUUAUUUUAUUUAAAAUAACCCUAAUGUUAUCGUUGUAACAAGAUUUUGUCUCUGUUCGCAUUUUUGUAAUGCAUGUUUAUCUUUUUCGACAACAUUUUGUUUAGGUUAGUUAGAUGACUAUUUUAGAUCAUGUUUUUAAUUUGCUCUUAAAACCCAAAUACUCUUAAAACCCAUCCGGCAUAUACGGGUAGAAGAAUUAAUGUCAAAACUUUUCUGCUUCAUUAUCCAAUUUAACCAUUGUAAAGCAAAAUACUUAUAUAGUCGCCAACAACAUAAGCUGGAAGUCAUCAAGCCACACACAUUUUACAGCAAUGCAACUGAAAGGAUAAAAUGGACAGAUUUGAAUAAAAGAUUAACAAAUUGCACCAUUUGUACCUAAAGACAUUAAAUGAAAAAUUGUUCUCGGAAAUUAGUAAAAGCUCUAUUCUAGUCUUCAAGUGGAUGUAGACUGGUUGGUUAGGUGAAUAUCUAUAAAUUCUUGUGUCUUAUCUUCACAGUUAUUUCUUUCGAUUUUCAUUUUAUUUUGUGUGUGAUUAAACUUUGGUUUUUAAGUUUAUUAAACAAUCUUCGACUAGGCUUAGGUCUUGAGGGAAUGGUUUGGUAUUUAUACACCUAAUCAGUCUCAACAAAUAUCGAAGAGGAGUAAAAAAAGAUCUAGCCAUAACAAAAGGGAAAGAAAGAAAAAAGCUAAUAAAAAAAAAGUAAGAAAAAUCUUGGGCAUUAUGACUUUGAGAAUGAUGAAAUAUUUUAUGGAUAUAAAAAUAAAAACAAGUACUUAAAUCGUAUAUGGGUAUUGUUUUGGCAUUUAAAAGGGUGUGAAGAGUAAAAUUUAUUAUUAUUUUAAAAUUUAUUAAAGGGGAUGGAUCAAGGAUCCUUAAAAUUAAAGAGAAAAAAACCUUAAUUUCGUUUGAUGAUUCUGGUCCUUUAAAAAUUGUGUAAGAGAAGUUUAUGCAAGUUUAAAGCAACUUUAACAUAGUUGAGGGAAAUAAAGAGAUGGGAAAAGAAAGAAUUAGGAGGAGAGAUGAUAGAGAAAAGAAAAAAAAAAAAGUAAAGAUGACCAUGAAGAUCGUUGGAGGAGAAAGAAGAUGAUUGAAAAAAAAAACGAAUGAAAUAUUUAGUACAUCUCAUUAAAUCCUCAACUAUAUUCAUUUAUCUGUAAUCUAAAGGAGCACAAAACAGUGCAGUUUCAAGGGAAAUUUGAAUUUUUCCCUUUAUUGAAUGAUGUGAAGAGUAAAAGAAUGUUAAACUAUAUUUUAGAGCAUAAAUAACUCUAUCAUGUAAAAAUUUGUUUAAUUGUUGAUUGCAGAUACUUUUUUAUCUUGAGCUGUAUUUUUCUUGAUAUAUCUCAGAACAAGGAAGAACUUUGUUAAAACUUGACCCUUCCUAGCUUUGAUGCUCUAUGUCAUUUUUUAUGUUUAUAUAUAUAUAUAUAGAGAGAGAGAGAGAGAGAGAAAUGUUCCAGUCAGGAAUUUUAAAGUACGGAAAAAUACGGAAAACUUUUAAAAUCGCAUGAUUUUAAAGGUUUAAAACUGUAAGCCUUUAAAAUCGUGUGGUUUUAAAGAUUUUCUUGACUUUCUCGUACUUUAAAAUCACUGACCAGAAUAUAUAUAUAUAUAGUCCUUUUCUAGUGCAGACGCCCUCAUUUAUUUGCCCUCAUUUAUUUUUCAUGGGGACAAACUUUAAAACCACAAGGUUUAAGAGAGUUAGUUUUUAACUCUUUAAAACCAUACAGUUUUUAAAAAAAUACAGACGUCUGCACCUAAAAAUAAUUAUAUAUAUAUAUAUAUAUAUAUAUGUGUGUGUGUGUUAAUUAUAUGCUACACUUUAACAUACAAAUUUUGUUACUUUAAAUUGUAACUAUGUCAAUCUUUUCUUUAAUGGCAAAUUGUAUGUUGAAAAGGUCAAAUUUAUCCGUGCACCUUUUCUAUCAAUGUUUUAAUGACGACAGUGAAAUUGGGUCAACAAAGUUAGUACCAGGGACAAAGAUUUUUAAUUCUCUCCGUGAGUUUUAUGGGUAAAACAUUCUAACAAACAAUUUUUAUGGCGUCGUCUUUGUCAAUAAAGCGAACCAAAGCAUGCCGAUAAAGCAAAGAAGAUCAUGAUUGGAUUGAAAGAUUCCAAAAUCAUAUUAGUUCCAAUAGCACCUAUUCGAAGAUAGCCCAAAUACUGAUUUUAAACAUCAUUGUUUCAAUGGAAAAUGCUAACUGUUGUGGUUUUAUCACAAUAUAAAACAUUGACAAAGCACUGAUAAUACGUAUGCAUGGAGACUUAAAAGAUGUAUACAUAACAUGAGUAGAGAUUAACAACAGCAAAAGGAUCACAGGCGGUGUUAUUUUUAUUCUGUAAUAGAGAUAAAAGGUUACUAGCCUGGUCUAUUAUUUAGAAUGAUACAGCUAAGUUCAUUCAUUACGCGGUCAUUGAUAUUGCUUCAGCAGCUUCAAAAAACCUUGAUAUUGCGUUAGCAGCUUGAAGUAGCCUUGAGCUUUCCUCUGAUGGAAAAAACAGAACAUUCAAAGCCGGUUCAUGAUCACCAACUAGAAGCAGACGUCGAACGCCAUCCUUAGUUGAAACGCCAAUUUUGUUGCAGCGUCUAGGACAAGAUAGACAGACACUCGGACAAUGGACAAUAUUGUAUACACCACCAUAUGAAAAAUUUCCAGCUUUCUCAAUCUUAAACCAAUUUAGCAACGUUUCAGCUCCUGGGUGGCCCUCACUUCCGCCGGUUACAAUUAAUGGAUCGUCAUAGCUAUCAACUUUCCACAAUGGUUCUUCAUUACAGGGCUUAACAGAAACUUUUACGGGGAAUCUCAGGUUGACAUCAGUGGAUACCUUGACAAUUUUGUAAUUGUCGUACGGAAGUAAUCUUAAAUUAUCUCCCCUUUCGCUAGGAGAACUUAAUUGGAUAACGUCCAAGGGACACUGUCCAUUUGUGCCUAGGUGUGUGCUGAAUCCACCGGCGCCAUCUAGGACUGGGAUAAGUUUAUACUCGAGGGUGGAUUUGACCUUGUUGCCAAUGAUAUCUAAGACAGGUUCAGAGUUUGAUGAGAUGCCCAAUAGAGGCUGCGUGGCCAAGGUAAGGAUAAGGAAGGAGAGUGUUGUUAUCAAUGAAGUCUUCAUUUUUUUGCCACUGGAAGGCUGGCUGCUGUUUGUUGUGUUGAUUCGUUGUUCAAGAGUUUGAAUUUAUAGAGAGCUAGAGCUUAGUAUGUGAUAAGUUCUUUGUGUUGGAUCAUUAAUCUAAUGUUGGGCUUAUAUGUGAAUAUUUAUGUGUUGUGGAUUUUCACAUAAGGUUAAACUCAAUUAAAAGUGAUCUAUUAAUAUUUUUAGUAAUUUGGACUUUAAUGCAUCUGAUAGUGUGGGCUUUUAAUAUAUACAGACCUAAGGGUAAUUUUUAUUUCUAUUAUGAGUUGAAAUAGGAAUACUUAAUGAUAACAAAAAAAAUUAUCUAUAUAAGUGGUUAUAGUCCCCAUGUCACAUGUAUCAUUCUAUUCUCUACUAGCAUUCCAUCAUCAGAGAGAGUGCAAUGAAAAAGUUAAAGGAUUCUCGACCUAGAAGGCUAAUCACACGACCCUAGAGAGUAAUUAAACAUUAUGUAUUCAGGUACGAUUUCGUAAAUUCAUUUAUUGAUUUUUGGUGAUACAACAUGAAUGUUCCUGGAAUUUUGGGGAUGAUUUUUUUACAAAAAGAUUUAAGGUUCUAACAAGUGGCAUCAAAACCUCUUCAUGUUGAAUUAUUGAAAAUCGAAUUUAUUUUCAAUUAGUAAUUGAAUCUUUAGUAUUUUCAAAUUUAAUAAUUUUGGUAUUAUUGAGUUUUAAAACAACUGUGGUUGUUUUUUAAGGAUUAAUAAAAACAAUUUGGGUUAAUUAACAAAAAGGAUUUGAGAUCAAGGCCGGCGGCAGUCACUUCCAUCCCCAGUAACACCCUCACAGGCCUCGGUAUUCCAGGCUGCGACGAGAAGGAAAUGUCGCGGUACACAUGAAAAGCGGCAACCAUGGCCAUCGCAUCAAGAAUCAAAAAAAGAAAAAAAAGAAAAGAAAUAGCCAACGAGCCACAGAAAGCAAAGCCGUGGCCACUAGGCUGUGGCGCAGUUGCAAUUUCUAAAUUCAAAAAUUGAUAUGUUUAUUAAUAAUUUGAGGUGGCCUAAUUGAAGCAGCAUGUCGCCAUAGUAACUUCUUUUGCGGAAAUUAAUUUGUUUAAUAACAUAACCGAUUAUGUGCAUCUAAUUUCUGGGAAUGUUAGUCUGCCUAAAAUAAAGUUUAUAUUUAACAAAAUCGCCUUUGCAUAUAUGGUAAUAAAUGCGUGAUAAUUAUUUAGUUUUACAUGUGAAUAAAAUUAUUUGGUUUUACAUGUGCAUAAUAAAUCAGCCAAAACAAUGAUUUAUUAGGGGAAAUUAAUUUGUUUUUUAAUAUAAACGGUUGUGUGUAUGUAAUUUUUUUGAAUAUCAAUCGACCUAAAGAAAGGUCCAUGUAUAACAGAGUCACAUGUGCAUUUAUGGUAAUAAACAUGUGAUAAUUAUUUAGUUUUCCAUGUGAAUAAUAAAUCGACCUAAAGGAAGAUUUAUUAUCUGACAUGUUCUUAUUAUCAAUGAUUGAUUACUACACCAAGAUAUCACUUACAUCUUAAUAUUUUGUCUAAAGACGAAGUACGAAUAGAGUGUCCGAUAUCGUGACAUGUGGUAUACCUUUAUUUCAAUUUAUAUAUUCUAUUUUAAGACUUAUAUGAGCUUGUUUUAUUUGUUUGUUGUUCUCUAUUCAGUUAUUACUCUUGCUAAUAUUACUGCAAACAUUAAUUCUAUUCUUAUGCUAAAUGGCUCUAAUUUAAAGUCAUGUCAAGAGAACCUCUUAAUAGUUCUUGCCAUUAUGGAUUUUAUCUUUGCGUUAAGAGCUAAUUCUCUCGUACCUCUUAAUAGUUCUCACAGUCAAAUCGCAUAUGUAUGAUUAUCACGAAGAAGGCCAUUCUGGAAGCGAUCAAGGGCUCAAUAUCUAAAAAGAUGAUUAUGACAUUGGAAAAUGGUUUGUGAAGAACGAAAAGGCUGAAAUAGGUAUGCUUUUGACAACUUCAAUUUCAACAAUGUAUAUGAGCAAAGGAAAGAAAAUAAAAAAAGAUAAGGAAACUGCAAAUAAAACAUAUCAAAAGAAACAACAAAAAACCUGACUAAUCUAAAAGGUACUAGUUGUUUACUCGACGAACUUGAAGGGCAUAAGAAAAAGCAUUGUGCCAAUUAUCAAGCAUGGUGUGCAAAGAAGGGUAUGCUUCUUAAUUUGGUUUGUUCUAAAAUUAAUUUAACUUCAGUACCUAGACACACAUGGUGGAUAGAUUCUAGUGCAAUAACUUACAUUAGUGUGUCUAGCCAGGGUUGCCUGAAUUGUCGAAACCCCAGUGAUGGUAAAAUAUACAUCUAUGUGUGCGAUGGCAAGACGGUUGGAGUGAAAGCAAUAGGAAAAUCUAUAUUAUUAUUAAAGACUGGAUUUUAUUUCAAUCGUGAAAGACAUUAUUCCGUAUUUUAGAUAGAAUUUGAUUUCCAUUUCUGCUUUGGACAAGUUUGGUUUAUCUUCUUUAUUAGGGAAUGAAAAAUUCAGUUUGUUUCAUGAAUCAAAAUUAGUUAGUUUUGAUUUUUUAUCAGCCUAUGAUUAUCUCUAUUUGAUUGAUCUGAUUGCUUUAUUUAAUGAAUCCCUGAAGUCGAGAACAAACUCAGCAAAAGAAUCAAAAGUAUUAGAUAUGACUUUGGUGAUGAGUACUAUGGCAGAUAUGACAGUUCAAAUGAAUAACAUUCAGGACCGUUUACUAAGGACGAAACAAGAGGCUUAAAGACAUGGGAAGGAGUACAAUUUCUCAUUCUAUUUUACUGGAAUUACUAUGGGGAGAAGUAUUUAAGACUACAGUAUAUAUCCUUAAUAGGGUUCCAACUACAACCACUACUAAAACCCAUUAUUGACUGUCAAUAGGUAAUAAGCCUAGUCUCAAGCAUUUGUAUGUUUAAGGAUAUCCAACUGAGGCAAGGCCUUAUAAACCUAAUGAAAAGAAACUAGAUUCAAGGACAAUAAGUUACUAGGCUAAAUGGUACAAGUCAAUUUUUUUAGUCAGGACAUACCUAAUUCUUUGAGGAUGUCGAGUUUGUAGCUGGAAAUAAAACUAGAAAUUUUUGUCUUUGAAAAGGAAUAUAUUAAUAUUCCCGUAGGUGUUUUUGGCAUUGACUAGGGCUUCAUUUGUGGCUUUGUUCAUGACACAACAAAUCUAAACAAUAUCGAAGAACCCUUGUACAUUUAUAGAGGAACAAACUCUACCACCUGAAGCACUUAUGUCAUUAAGGAGAUCCAUUAAAGAAAGAAAAAGUACAACGCCAAAUGACUAUAUUGUAUUUCUGUAAGAACAUGAAGUGGAUAUCGGGGUAAUGGAAGAUGAUCCAAUUAAUUUCUAUUAGGCCAUGCAAUGUUUUAACUCUCAAAAGUGGAUUGAUGCCAUGAAUAAAGAGAUGAAGUCCAUGAAGGACAAUGACAUAUGCGAUCUUGUCUCAUUGAUAGAAGGUACGAAACCUAUUGGUUGCAAAUGGAUAUUUAAGACUAAAAGGGAUUCAAAAGGCGUAUAAAAAGUUCCAAGGCAUGUCUUAUCGUAAACAACUUUAUAAAGAAAGAAGACAUUGAUUAUAAAGAGAAUUUCUCUCUAGUUUCUUCGGAAGACUUUUUCAAGAUCACAUUGGUAUUGGUAUUGCAUUUUAAUCUUGAGUUAUAUAAUGGAUAUGAAUACAAAACUUCUCAAUGGUGGCAUUGAUGAGAUAAUCUAAUGGUGUAGCCAAAAAAAUUUGUGCCAAGAGAUCUAAAGAAUAUAGUUUGCAGACUUAAAAAAUCUAUUUAUGGGCUCAAGAAAGCAUCUCGGCAAUGGUAUUUUAAAUUUCAUCAAGUGAUUAUCUUAAUUAGUUUUGAGAUGAAUCUAGUUGUUGAUUGCAUAUACCAUAAGUUCUGUAGGAGCAAGCAUAUAUUUUUGGUUUUAUAUAUAUGUCGAUGGCAUUUUGUUGUUAGCAAUGAUUUAAAGUUAUUGCAUGACACUAAGAGAUUUCUAUCUAAGAAUUUUAAGAUGAAAAAUUGUUGUACUUUUUCUAAUGCUAUUGGUGUUAAUAUGCAAGUUUACACAACAAGUAAUAUAAUGAUAAGUAUUCGAGAUCGUCUCCACAAGGAUUGAUGUUGUAUGAGUUGCUACAGCAAUCUUAACAGUACAAUUUUGUUCUAAACUAAAUUAAGACAAUUUAUGAAACUAAUGAAUCUAAUUAAAAUAAAAUGCUAAAAAAUAAAAAUGCAAUAAAUAAACUCUCACAUCAAACACAAGGAUAUAACCAAUGAGAAUGGAGUAGUUGAAUAAUUAAACUCACUUAAUGGUUUUUGAUUAUUUUUCUAACCGUCGCUUGUUGGAUAUCUUAUACCUUAAUGUAACUUAACAGUGACAAAUUGUUUUGCUAACAUAAGAUAUAUCAUUUCACAUUUAGAUUCUAUUUACCCUACAAGGUGAAUCCUUAUGCCUAGUUCAUCACUAAUUUUAGAUCAAGCAUGGCCUUUUUGGAUUCAAGUUAAACUCAACUCAGGAAACCCAAUCUAAAACUAAGUAUUGCUAUGAUAUGUUGCACUAAGAUAGGCCAUUUUGUGGCUCUUUCUUAGUUUAUACCAUUAGAUGGGUGGUCAGCCGAAAUAGUGAAUUAAAAUAAGUAUUAUCAAAACAACAUGCUAUAACAAACAUGCAGUAAUACAUAUAUUCAGUCAAUUAACCAUCAAGAUUGUUUAUCACUCAACCACAAAUAAAUUUAGUUCAUGAUUUGUAAGAGAGAAAUAAAUAAAAGACUUUCAACCAUCAAAUACAUCCCCAUGAUUAAAGAGUAAACAAGAAAACAAGAAAACAAGAAAAAAAAAAGGACUGAUUUCCCUAUUGAUCGCUGCAAUUUCUCCUCUGAUGUAGCCCUAAAUCUUGCUCUUGAAUUCUAUUUUUCUCUUGUUUCUUUUCGGUUUUUCUUUUUUGUUGAUGGCUCUCCUCUUUCUUUGUGUGUGUGUCUCUUUUAUAACUUAUAACUAGGGCAACCAGAAGUCUAGGGUGCCUAUCUUCUAGAUUUAAAAACUCCAUAUCACAAUCUUCUAAGUAUCUUGCACGAAAUUUUCUCUGUCAAUGUUUCAGGAUUGCUACAAAAUGGCUACAAUAUCUGCACUAUUCCAAACUUGCUCCAAUUCUUCUGUAGCCAUGCUUUUUCCUUAUUUUUGCAAACCUAUUGCAACAACAUUCCUCCCUUAAAAUUUGAGCUUCCAAUCACCUACAAUUAUGCACACAAUCUAAGCACACAAAUUAUUCUAAAAUAACAUAAUUUAUUAAAAAUAAACUAAAAUGCAAUAAAAACAUGACAUUUACUCUAUAAGUAAUAUUGAUUUAAAUCCAAAAGUGCCUUGAUAAAUCUCCUCUCAUAGAGAGUUAUCACACCCCCACACUUAAACCAUUACUUGUGCUCAAGUAAUGACAACAACAUUAACACUUCAAUCACACAAUCAUGCAACAAAUAACUUAGCUUUGUCAUUAAAUUUGAAAGGAUUCUUCAUCCCUCAGAUCAAGUGUUUAAUCAUGCUCAAUUGCCAUAGCAGUUCAGUUCUAAACUUAGGCCUUAUUUUGUCCAGAUUGUGUGUUUGCCACUUUGAUCAAGCCUAGAGGUGCUGCAACAUUACACGUACAUUAUAUAAUUUAGAGGUAGAACACAAAUAUAUUCACAUAUGGGGGACCAUAAGUCACAAAUAAACUUAAACUGUACUACAACAAAAUAAUUUUUUUUAAUUCUCUUUAAUGUUUCAUUGAUUUUUCAUGUGAAUGUCUAUCACUUGUGGUGAUGACACUCAAUUCCUCAACCAAUGCACAAAUCAGAGUUGUUGCAGCAAUGCUCAUAAUAUUAUUCUUAUCUACAGACACAUUUAACUCAAGGCUGAAUAUGGGGUUCAUGAAUAGACCUGACUACUCAAUAUCCUAGACAGAGGACCUUCUAUUUUUUUUAGGACUUAUAUGUGCUUGUAUUGUCUGUUUGUUACUCUUUGAUUUAGCUAUGACUCUUGUAAAUAUUACUACUAAUAUCAAUUCUAUUUCUAUGCUAAAUGACACUAACUUCAAGUCAUUACAAGAGAACAUCUUAAUCGUUCUCACAGUCAUGGAUCCUAACUUCGCAUUAAGGGUUGAUUACCCCCACUUUUUACGGAUAAGAGUACUUCUAAUGACAAAAAAGAUUUGGAAAGGUGGGAGAAAUCAAAUCUCAUGUGUAUAAUGAUUAUUAAGAAAGCCACUCUAGAAGCAUUCAGGGUCUUAAUGUCUAAAAAGAUAACUAUGACUAAGGAGUUUCUUGCGGACAUUGAAAAAGGGUUUGUUAAGAAUGAAAUGCAGAAAUAGGUACGCUCUUAACAAGUCUCAUUUCAAUGAGGUAUAUAAGUAGCGGUAAUAUCAGAUAGUACAUUAUAGAGAUGUCUCAUCUUACUUCUAAGUUGAGAGCACUUGAACUUGAACUCUUUAUGGACAUGUUAGUGCAUUUGGUUUUAAUAUCCUUACCAACACAUUUUAACUAGUUUUAAGGUAAGCUACAACUGGUAAAAAGAGACUUGGUCUCUAAAUGAGCUCAUAUCAAACUAUGUUUAGGAAGACAAAAAAUGCUCACUUGGCCUCUACCUUUACGGGCAAGUACAUGGGAAAAGAAAAAAAAAAGAAGGAUAAAGAAGCUACAGAUAAAGAACCUCAAAAGAGAUGACUAAAAAGAAAAAAAAAAGGAUAAUCUGGAAGGUAGUAAUUGUUUCUUUUGUAGAGUUGGAGGGCAUAAGAAGAAUCAUUAUACUAGCUAUCAUGCAUGGCCUGCUAAGAAAGGUGUACUCCUUAAUUUGAUUUGUUCUGAGGAUACAUUAACUUCAGUACCUAGAUACACAUGGUGGAUAGAUUCUAGUGAAACAACUCACACUAGGGUGUCUAUGCAAGGUUGCCUAAAUUGCCAAAAGCCUAGUAAUGGUGAAAGAUAUGUCAACGUGGCAAUGGCAAGACGAUUAAAGUUAAAGCAAUUAGAAAAUUUAUAUUACUAUUAAAGAUUAGAUUUAAUUUGGAUCUUGAUAAAACAUUUAUUGUUCUAUAUUAACUUGAUUUUUAUUCCUGUUUGGAAAAUAUAUUUAUUUUUCAUUUGGGAAUAGAAAAUUGAGUUUCUUUCAUAAUUCAAAAUUUUUUGGACCCAGUUCUUUGUCAGGUUAUGACAAUAUUUAUUUAGAUGAUACGACUGCUUUAUUUUAUGAAUCCUUAUAAUUAAGUACAUGAGGUAUAAAGAGAAAAUUACCAAUGAGAAUUUGGCUAUGUUAUGACGUAAGAGAUUAGGUCACAUUUUUAGACAGAGAAUAGGGAGACGUGUGUCAGAUUAACCCCUUAGAUUUACAAAUUUUGAUGUUUGUGCUAAUUGUACAAAGGGGAAAGAAACCAAUCAAAGGAGAUUUGAAGCCAACAUGACUUUAGAAGUCAAAGAACCUAUACAUACAAAUAUUUGUGGGCCAUUUACGUAGCAGCUUAAAAUGGGUAACAAUGUUUUAUGACGUUCACCCUCUAUAAAAAAUCACAGUCAUUGGAUAUGUUAAAAAAUUUUAAGGUUAGUUGAAAACCAACUCUGCAAAAGAAUAAAAAAAGUGUCAGAUCUCACUAUGGUAGAUAUAAUAGUUUCAGGGAACAACAUUCAGGAUAAUUUACUAAAUUCCUAGAGGAAUACAGUAUCGUCCCACAAUACACCAUGUUGGGUUUGCCAACUAUGAAUGGUGUUGUUGAAAGAUGAAAUAAGAUGUUUGCAAUAAGUUUCCAACUAAAGUGACUACCAAAAUAACCUUAGUGACUACUAAAGUGACUACCAACUAAGGCAUGGCUUUAUAGGCCUAAUAAAAAUAAACUAGACUCAAGGACGGUGAGUUGUUAUUUUAUUGAAUACUUUGAACAAACUAGGGGGUACAAGUUUUAUGAUCCCACGACUAAGCCAGUAUUCAAGUCAUAAAAUACUUGGUUUUUUGAAGAUGUAGCGUUCACGGGGGAGAUACAGCUAGAAACUUUGUCUUUCAAGAAAAAUAUGUUGAUAUUCCUACCAUUGUUAUUGGUAUUGAUCAAGAUCUCAUUCUUGACCUUGUUAAAGGCACAACAGAUUAAAACGAUGUUGAAGAGCCCUUAUACAAGAAAUUUUUCUAGAAUAACAAUCUCUACUACUUCAAUAACCUAUGCCAUUAAGUUCACUAGAGAAACUAGAAGUAUAAUGUCAAAUGACUACAUUGCAUUUCUUCAAGAUUAUGAAGUGGACAUUGAAGUGAUGGAAGAUGAUCAAAUCAAUUUCCAUCAAGCAAUGCAAAGUUCUAACUCCCAAAAGUCGUUUGUUGCCAUGAAUGAAGAGAUGAAAUCUAUGAAAGACAAUGACAUGAUAAAUUUUCUCAUUGCUAGGAGAUGGAAAACCCAUUGGUUGCAAAUGGAUAUAAAGAGACUUUCUCUCUAGUUUCCUUGAAAGACUAUUUUAGGAUCAUAAUAACAUUGGUGGCGCAUUUCAAUCUUGAGUUACAUCAUAUGGAUGUGAAUACAACGUUUCUCAUGGUGACAUUAAUGAGAUGAUAUAUAUGGUAUAGUGAAAAUACUUUUUGUCCAGAGACCUAAAGAAUAUGUUUGCAAACUUGAAAAAUCCAUCCAUAGACUCAAGCAAGCAUCUCGACAAUGGUAUUUCAAGUUUUAUCAAGUGAUCAUCUCUUUCAAUUUUGAGAUGAAUUUGGUCGAUGAUUUUAGUGGAUGCCAAGAUAGUAUGAAAUCUACUUCGUGUAAUAUUUAUCUACUAGCUGAAGGUGUUGUCUCUUAGAAGAGUACUAAACACUCUAUUAUAGCGUCUUCUAUGAUGGCAGCACAUAUUAUAGUAUAUUAUGAGGCAACCAAUCAUAAAAUAUGGAUGCUAAAUUUUGUCAUGGGCUUGUGCAUAGUAGAUGGUAUUGAUAAACUACUCAAGUUAUUUUGUAACAAUAAAUCAGCAGUGUUGUAUUCUAAUAACAAUAGGAAUUCGACGAAGUCAAAGCAUGUAGAGAUUAAAUUCCUAGUUGUUAAAGAGUUCAAAGUGGACAAUUUUCUAUAGAGUACAUCGGCAUAAACUCCAUGAUUGUGAAUCCACUUACUAAGGGAUUACCACCUAAAAUGUUUUAUCAUCAUGUUGCUCAUUUAAGUGUCAUGUUAUUAAAGGAUAUUCAAUUUUAGUAGGUGUUUAUGGUUUUAGACGCUCUUAUGAUAUGCAUAAUUUUCAAUUAUUUGAGGUUAUUUUCUGCAGAAAUAAAGUUUUGCUUUAUUCAGACUUUGAUUUCGGUAUGAUUUGAUCUCAUUAAGGUUUAAGGUGGACUAAUUAGAAAUAGUUAUGUUAAAAUUAUAUUGCAUGAAAUUUCCAUACUAAACAUCCACAUCAUGAUCCAUGUCAUUCAAUUAUAUUGGCAUAAUGAAUAUUGAUGGGUUAAUUUAUGACAACUGCGACAAAGGCCACUUUGACCCUAUGUUAGUACGAUUAAUGGAAUAGAUUGGUUACACAUACAUUUCGGUAAUGAUAGUAAAGUUGAGUUUAUACAGUUAUUUUUGCCAAGCAUGGUUAUAAGGUUCACAUAUAGCCCAAGUAGCAGACUGUUGAAUCCUUAGUCCAACAUUGGCUUUAUAUAUGAAUAAAUAUAUGUUACAAAUUAUCUUAUAAGGUUAAGCCUAAUUAAAAGUAAUCCAUUAAGGUUUUUGGUAAUUUGGGUUUUAAUGUAUAUGAUAGGGUGUAGACCCUUAAUGCGUAGAGAUUUAAGGUUAAUUUCUAUUCCUAUGAUUUGUUGAAAUAGGAAUGCCUAUUGAAAUCUGGAAAGUAUAAAUAUUUAUGGUCCUUAGGUCACACGUAACAUUCUAUUCUCUUCUGACAUCUCAUCAUCAAAGAGGGUGUAGGGAGAAAGUUCAAGGAUUCUCUAAGAUAACAUGUUGAUCUAGAAGACUAACCACACAAAUCUAGAGAGUAAUUAAGCAUUAUGGAUUCAAGUGCGCUUCUGCAUAUUCGACAGGUAUUGCAUAUGACUAGCGAUUAUCAAUAGCAUGAGGCUGAUGAUCUACAUUGGUGCAAGGCCCUACUGCAUUUAACGAGAUCUACAUGUGAUGGUGAUGCGCGACUAUUAGCUUUGCAUAUGAUAGUGAUAGUGAUGGGAUCAAUCAUGGCUCUGCGUGCGAUGGUGAUCAAAUCGAACAUGGAUGCUACGUUCAAUGACCCGUGCUGGAUCAUUUUUUUAAUUGAGGGCAAAAUGGGGUUUACAAAUUUUUUGGGGGGCAAAAUUGGAACUCCUAGGAAUCCGCAUUCCCCAUAUCCAAAUUGGGGUGGGCCUUACGAUUCCAUUUUCGAUUCCUACUCUUAUUUUUUAAAGUAAACAUUGUCAAUGAUUCCGGUUCUAGAUUCUGAUUUCCCAAUCUGGGAAGUAAACACUCCCUGAAUGUAAAAUAAAACAUCAAUUAAGUAAAUGAAACAUAGGACUUAUAAAUAGAAAAUAAACAACAAAUUGACAUAAAAGUGGUAAAUUGGAUAUUGGCAAAAAGAACAAAAGCUUAUGAAUAUAAAAUAAAACUUAUAAAUAAAUAUUAAGUGUAAAAUAAAACAUAAAUUAUGUGAAUAAAACAUAAGACUUGUUAAUAGAAGGUGAAACAAGUAAAUUAAUAUAAUAAUUAAUAAAAAAUAAAACUUACAAUUGUAAAAUAAGAACUCAUUAUAAUAAUGAUUACCUUAGAUAUUUGUUUAUUUUGCUUCUAAAUUGAAUAAUAAAAGUUAUGAGUUUUUAUAAUAUAUGUGGUGAUAUAUGUAAAAUUUUAUUAGGAUAAAACUUAUUCUCAAAAUUAGAUGUUGAAAAAAAUAAACUUUUUAUAUUUUUCAAAGCUAUUUGUAUCCUUCUAAAUCUCCUUGAUGGCAACCCCAAAUGAUUUUUUAGUACAUGUAAGAAGUAAAGUUUAAAACUACAUGAAGUAUGUGUAAAAUAGAAGAUUAUAUCUAAUUUUAUUUAUAUAUUAUAUAGGUCCAGUAAUUUAAGAAUAUUCUUUUAUUUUGUUUUGGCUUGACCCAUAUUAAGAAAAAUAAUUUUGUUUAAUUUACCUGUGUAGUAAACAAUACUAUCAUUAAAAAAAAAUUAUGAAUGUCAUAGAAUGAGUAUAAAAUUUGUGGUUAAACCAAUUCAAUAAAACUUAUUCCAAUUGUUUACAAUACAAUUAUUUUUUUUAAUCGAUGAGUGUAAACUAUUUUCUUAAAAUGAAAGUUUAAUAUUGAUUUACAGUUUUAUUUUAUUUUUAUAAUUUUUUUAAUAAUGCUAAAACAUAUAGGUGAACAUUCAAUGAACAUUGACUAAUAUGCAAGAUUUAAGAUAUUUUGAUUAUUUAAGAUAUUUAGAUUAAGAAACAAGUGUGAUAAAGACAAGUCACAAUAGAAAAGAAUAGAAUAUUUCAUGUAAUUUACUUUUUAUUCAGAGUUUGGUCUUCUUUGGCAAUACCCUUAAAAACAAUUAUUCAUUUCCUCUUUAAGAGGGCUCGGUUUGUUGCUGCUUGUUUUAUUAAGAAUUUCUUUCCUUCCCUUGGAUUAGUACUAGAACUUGCAUUAGUAUUAGAACAUGUUCCUCAAAAGACUGGCAUGAAACGAAAUUCUUUCAAAUUCAAACUACUAAUCUAUGUUAGCCAAAUUAGAAACUAGAAAAGAAGAUACUUUGAAUCUUAAUCUUAAAAGUAUCAGAUGAACAGUGUUGGAUGGUUGGUGCUGGAUGAAUAAUAUCAUAAAGAGUAUUGGAUGAACAAUACUAGUUAAUAGUAACCUGAACAGUACCACCAACAAUUAUUCGUGUUUUGGACUUUCAAAGAACCAAUAUUGACUCAUAAUUUGAACAACCUCAGUCGGCUUAAUAGAUAAAGGCUAACUCUGAUGGCAUGUGUCGUCGGAAUCCAGGUAUGGCUGUUUGUUGUGGGAUCCUUUGUAGUAGUCAUGGGGGUAUGUUAGGCUUCUUUUUUUCUUUGUGCCUUUUAAGGAUACAAUCCGCUUCUUAUGUCGAGAUCAUGGUUGUUAUUUUAAUCGUUCAGCUUGUUUAUGAGAGAGGAUGAUUGAAUCUCUAGAUCGAAAGUGAUUGCUUACAAUUGUUAAUCUCCGUAAUGGCCAUCUUCUUUCCCCUAGGACUUUGCUUAAUCAUUAGAAAAUUUAUUUACUAUUAAUAGAGUAAAGGAGGGGACUGCCAUUCUCACAUUGGAAAUAAUUGUACAUAGGCCGUCUUCUUCCUCAUUAAAUGCGAGUGAAGCAGAAAUUUCUUGAAAAUUAGUGAGGUAGAAAAUUUAUAUUGUAUUUUAUAGGGUUAAUGUCGAUUAGUCCUAAUAGUUGUAUGGUUGUAAUAUCAAUAUUAAAAAAAAUUAAGGCUUGCCUUACUCAUAUUUUUAGAGAGGGAAACGAUGUAGCAGACAAGUUGGCCAAUUUUGAUGUUUGUACUUCUUCUUUUAUUUGGUGGUCGAAACCUAAAGUUUUGCCUUUACUCCUUAAAACUCACAUUAUCUCCCUAUUUAUUGAUUCAAGUGGUAAUUGAUGCAAUUACAUCUUUGCAAGCAUUUUCCUCUAUAUUUUUACUUAUAUAUAUAUUCAUGUAUUUUAUUGAAUUUUUGUAUUAGCUUCUUUUGAGGUAAGGCUCAUUAUAUCCCUUUUUAGGUGUAAUGAUAGAAUGGGGCAAUGGAAGUGAAUUGAUAGGGUAAUUAUAGUACCGAACCAAGCCAAUGCAAUUAGCCUAUGCUUUAAUUGAAACAUGAUUAGAUCUUGUUCUAAUCCAAAUGACUCAAUAAGAUUUUUAACAAUGCUUUAGGUGAGAUUAGAUAAUGCUCUAAUUCAAAAGACUCUACAAGAGAGAUUCAUUAUAGAUAAUCCCAAAGAAAAUUAUAAAGAGGGAUAUUUUUAUUAAUAAAAAAAUUAUGAAAAUGAUAACGGGAUUUCCUUAUUUAUAAUAGUGUAAACCUACUUCCUUAAGUUAACUUAAAAAGGAAACUAAAUCACAAUUAUAAUAGAAGUAAAACACUAAAACACUUACCAUAAUUGACUCUAAUUAAAAUAAAAUAUAUCAAAAAGAACUUGAAGGGGAGCAUCACUUCAUCUUAGAGCUUGAACUCAGUAGCCUCGCUAAUCAGCUAUGUUAAAACUCAAAAUUCUCCAUUUUUAUAUUUUUCUUGUGCUUAUGAGUAACCCUUUCAAAAGAUGAAGUCCUAUCCGAACAAAUCACUUUAAGCCUUUUAAGACUUUCCCAAAUCUCGCUUAAUGUUCCCACCAACUAACUUUAUCUUUGCAACCAAAUCUUCUUCAAAAUAACCUUAUUUCUUCAACGUGGAUAGGCAUAAUCAUGUCAAUGAUUGCUAGAGCCUCUUCAACUUGAUUUUGUUGCACAGACUCGAUCUUCUUGUUAGGCUUAAUUUGCAAAUUAACAGUAAGUUGUACUUCUUUGUUAGAAGUUUUAGACAAAUCAACAAUAUUAUCAUCUUCUACUUUCACCGAUGUAAAAAGAAAUGGUUCGACAUUAUCUAAAUGAACAAAAUGGUCUUCUAUCAAUUGUCUUGUAUCAAACUAUUCUUUGAUUUCAUCUAGUCCAUGUCGAAUCCUUGAUUCUUGCAAUUGUUCCCACCAAUCAAGCACAGGGGCGGAUGCAGCACAUGACCAGUAGGGGCUCAAGCCCCCACUGGCAAAAAAAAAAUAAAUUUAAAAAUAAAAGAAAAAAAUAUUUUAAUUUUUUAAAUAGCCCCCAAUAAAUUUAUUAAAAUAAUCACUAUAAAAUAUGAACUCCCAUAAAAUUUAAACUUUGACUUUUAAGAAAUAUAAAAACUUAUAUUUUAAUUAAAAAUAAUGAUAGCCCACCACCCAAAAUAUUUUUUAUUUUAAAAAAUAUGGUUAAUUCUUCCAAUUUAUAUAAUAAUUAUAGAACGAACAUUUUUAGUAAUAAAACUCAUGAAAAAUCAUUUUUGGAAUCAGAUGUGAUAAGUAAUAGUUUGAUUGUUUAUAUGGGAAACAAUAAAUUUAAUAAUAUUGAUAAUGAGUCUAUUGCAUAACAUUUUUAAAAUAAAAAAAUGCGUAGAGAUUAAUUAUAAAUGUAUUAGUAAAUAUUUUAUAUAUUCAAAAUUUUAAUUUUUUUAUAUUUACUAUUAUCUAAUUUAGCUCCCGAUAAAUUAUUUUUCUAGAUCCGCCACUGAUCAAGCAUCACCUGUCAACUUAAAUGAUGCAUAAGAGAUAACAACAUUCAAAGAGAUAUUUUGAAGAAAAUCGUCCAUUGUCCAUAUCCAGUCAAAAAUAUCAUCAAAAUUACCAAUAAAAUUUAGGAUAACUUCAAAUUCGAGGAGACAAUAUGAACUUUGAUAAUCCAUCUUUAUCAUUUUUUCCUUAAAUUAAAAAUAUAAACAAUGGCAAAAUUGUAAGUAAGGCUUAACUCUCGUGUUUGGUAUUGCCCGCGGUUGGUGGUCGUGAUUGGGACCGGAGGGUGUUGGAUCUGCAAGAUAUGGUGGCUGGGAGCAUGCUGAUGUCACUGGUGACAAUCAACUCGCGGUGGCAGAGGUGUAUCAAAAUGCUAAAUUUGUGCUACAAGUUUGGUUCGGUUGCAACAAUUCUGGCUACUAAUCAAACCAAGUGGUAAAUGGGAUUUGAUUAGCGAGACUUACUAAUUUUGGUGGUGACUUGGUUCAACAGUGGUAAAGUUGAAAAUGGCGGGGGGUGAGUGGUGGAGCUUGCAAGUUUUGGUUGUUCACACAGUUGCUACACGACUGAUCAAAGGCAGAGGUUGGUCAGGUUUGGUUGUUGGUUGAUAUUGAUUCUGGUGGAGGGUUGAACGACAGCAGAGCCCAAAGGAAUGGUUGCUGAGCUGGCAGCAGCAGUGGCUAGGUUUGAUUUGGGGAAUUUUCUGAUUUUUUUUCUUAUUUUUUCAGUGGUGGAUUCAAAGGGAUGGAUGUGGGUUGCCUGGAAAGAUGUCCAAUUAGCACAGAAUUGGCCUGAUACCCACUGACUGAGUGGAGUACUGGUAGUGAAUUGAUAGUGCAGGAAACGCUAAAUAUCAUUCUUGCACCGAACCAAAUCAAACGUCAUUAGUUUACGCUCUAAUUGAAGCGUGAUUAGAUAUCGUUCUAAUUCAAACGAAUAAAUGAUAUUUUUAGCAACGCUUUAAGUAAGAUUAGAUGAUGCUCUAAUUUAAAUGACUCUAUAAGAGAGAUUUUUUUAUAGAUAACCCCAAAAGAAAUUAUUAAAGUGGAGUUUUUUUUAUUAAACAAAAUGUUAUGAAAAUAAUAACAAGAUCUCCAUAUUUAUAAUAGAGUAAAUCUACUUCCCUAAGUUAACUUGAAAGAAAACUAAAUUAAAAUUAUAAUAGAAAUAAAAGAUUAAAAUACAUAAUAUAAUUUACUCUAAUUAAAAUAAAAAAUAUUAAAAAAAUCUAAAAUAAUAAAAUUCUGAAAUCCUAAAAUAACUUCCUACAGCACGUAAUUUUUCUUUUUAUAAUUAAUAAAUUUUGCUCAAACCAUCGAGGUUUGUCUUAAUAAAAAUGUUUUUUAGAGUAUAAAUAACUUUACCGUUACUUAGAAUAAAAAUUCUCGGAGCAACCGAACUUUUUUUAAAGCGGAAAUUGGGAAUUGUUUUCCUUCUUUUCUCGAUUUUUUCCCCAUCUUUCAUAAAUUGGCCCACAAUUUGAAUUACAAGGACCAUAUUUUUUCCUUGACAACCAUUUUUCUUUAUACCCAAGGACCUCUAGAGUAUGCAACUUUUAUGGGGGUGCAAUUCAUGUCGCAGAUUGAACCAAGUCUUCUAGUAACUAUUAGGAAAUAUAUCUUAUUUUUUAAUAAAAAUUUCAUAGGAUAUUUUCCCCUUUAGUGAGAUUCUUAUUUAAGAAAUAAAUAAUUUUUCUUUCGAAACUUCACUUAUUUAUGGAGGAACAAAACUACUACAAGAAAAAGAAUACUUCUCCUUCAAGAAGUAAUCAUUAUAUAUAAGGAAUUUAGGAUCAUUUAUUUGUGUAACACAACCAUCAAUUUUCUGUAAGUAGAUAGUUUCUAACUCAAAUGGUAGGUCUAUUGUGAGAUUGAGUAUCAUUAAAACUUUGGGUGUGAGAAAAAUGCUUGAGUGAUUGCAAUAAUUUUUUACAUAUUAAAUUUUUUUAUGUAAAUUUUUCUGUUGAGUGAUUAAUUUUACUCUAUCUAUUUUUUUAUUAUUAUUUAUUUAAUAUUUUUUCUUACAAGAUCUUGGAUGGAAUUAAAAUUCGCUAGAGAUAACUACUGAGAAUAAGACAAUGAAUUUGUACAAUGUGAUUUCAGAAAUUAUUUUUCACGUUGAUACAUUCAAAUGCGAUGUUAAUUGCGAGAAAUGGCCAACACAAUAAUUUUUCUUUUUUGUUUUGAUUUGUUUUAUUUUUCUCCCUUCACAUAACAGCCACUCAAGUCUAUUCCAAAAGUUUCCCCGUAUAAAACAAAAAAGCCAAUAAUGCAAGAUGACAAUUCGUACGUAAUGAUAGAUUGAUAGAUCAGUGUGGCUCCCCGUGAAAAGGAGAUAAUGCUAGAAAAUAUUUUUCACGUUUAUACAAUCACAUGCGAUGUUAAUUGCGAGAAAUGGCCAACACAAUAAUUUUUCUUUUUUGUUUUGAUUUGUUUUAUUUUUCUCCCUUCACAUAACAGCCACUCAAGUCUAUUCCAAAAGUUUCCCCGUAUAAAACAAAAAAGCCAAUAAUGCAAGAUGACAAUUCGUACGUAAUGAUAGAUUGAUAGAUCAGUGUGGCUCCCCGUGAAAAGGAGAUAAUGCUAGCUGUCAGAUGAUUGUGUUUGUGUUUUCUGAAUGCUAAAGGCGCCAUCGGACUCUGUGGUGUAGAUUCACUGAGCUAUUUCAUCAUGCUUUUCUUAUUUCUGUUAUUUACAUUUAAUACGAGAAUUGAUUUGGGUGAGAGCGACUUUAGAGAAUUAUUUGUUUCUAUGAUGGUCCCACACCCAAAAUAUACGCAUCAGCAGUUCAACGUAGAAAUGAUAUUAGCUAAACAAUAUCGGCGGGGGUUGCUAGCCUUUGCAAGAAAGAAUCUCUCUACACGUUACCUAACAGGCUAGAAUAGGGACAGAAUUUUCUUAAUUACAAUCGACUGGGUGUAUUGUGGCGAAUUUUUUGAGUAAUAUAUCUUGAAGUAUCCUUGAAUAUUCCUUGUUAACACCAUUUCGAACACAACUUUGCAAUAAUCCUUACCCGGAAGUCAUGCAUGCUUGAAGUAAUUUGUCCCUCAAAAAUGAAUGUUGUUUUGUCAAAGCAUGCAUGGAUCGUGCUCCUUAAUAAAACUAUAAUGAUAUUACAGUUUUCCACUUUACAAUUUAUCAUGAAUAACAAUAGUUAUUGUUCAAAAUCAUUAAAAUCAACUCUUUGAUUACUGUUAUGAUUAGGCAGCUAUACAUAAAAGGCUACUACAGUAAAAUAUUUGGUAAUCAAUUGUUACUGUGGUGUGGAAACUAAAUUGAUGUUAUACUACACUUGUAUCAUGAAAAAUCUAUAAUAUUUUUUAUAUUUUUGUUAAACUUAUUGUUCAAAAUUAUAUUUAUUACACAUUAUUGACUCUUAUUUCACAACAAUUACAACACUUUAAUAACAAAGGAAGCCUAAAUUUCUAAUAAUUAGAGAAUGUAUGCAAUACCUAUCAGAUAAACUAAAAGACAAUGUAAUAAAAGAAAAAUUGCGAAGGGCUGUGUUUCGGCAAGUUGUUUGUAAGAAGUUCCCAAAGCUGCCAAGUCUAAGAUCUUAGUGGUCUUGUGAGGGCAUGGUUGAUAAACUACUAUUGUAGUUUUCUUCAGGAAGUCCUGUAGCUGUGAGGCUUAUCAUACAACGAAGACCGUGGAUAUUUCCACUAUUUGGGUAGAAGAUAAUAAGCCUAAUGAAUUAACUACGAAGGUAGCCAAUAGUCUAAUAAAUUAAUUAGAGAAUGCAUUUUUCAUGUAAUAAAUGACAUAGUUAUUAUUUACAUCCUUACUAGAUUUUUAAUUACCUUAUUCAUCGGUCCCGUUUAAGAGAUAACACAUAAAGUCAGCAUUUUUUUGUACAUUUACCAUUCACCUUUCUUUAGAAGAUUUUAUGACAUUUCUAAGUAGUUCAGUGCCAAAAUUAAAGAGAAAAUGAAAAUGAUUAGUCUUAUAUAAUUAAUAAAAGAACGCUCGCAAUUUUUUAUUUUUUGCUAAUCCCAAUGACUUAUGUAAUAUUUUAAUUUAAAAUUUUAAAUAUUACACACCUUGAGUUACUGUUUGCCCUUAUUUUAUAAUUAAUUUUGUUAUCUCUUAACGAAAGAGAUAAAACAUAUAAGUAAAAAUCUACUAGGAAUAUAUAAGUGGCAAAUGUUACAUCUUAUCAUUGAUGAAACAUGUAUUCUCUGUAAAUUAAUUAGCAAGAAUUUAUUCAAUAUUAUUUGCAUUAAAUGGACAUGUGUUGCAUAUUUUUGUUGAUUGUCUUGAUGUAUGUUGCUUUGGAUAUGAUAUCCUCGAAGUAUGUGGUAUAGAUAUAUAUUUUGAAAUUAAUAAUUGGUAAAGGCUUUUUAUUUUUUUACUUUUUAAAUCAGAGUGGUAAAGAUUUGAAUAGCCGUGUGUCACUAAUAUUAGUGUUUUAUAUGGCCCUAUUUUUGGCUUGCCUUUGUUUCAAUGGAUACGAUACAUAAUAAUACUUGCUGAUCAUGCUCAUUGUGGUGAUUUUAUGGCAAUGUAUUUGUCUUUCUUCUUAUUUUAAAUAUGUAUACAAAACAUUUAUAAAGCAUUGACAACAUGCAUGCAUGGAGUCUAUAUAACAAUACUUUUAAAAAAUGUACACAUAAUUAGGGUAGAGAUUAACUAACAGCGAAAGCAUCAUAGGCUAUUUUAUUUAUGCUUAACCAUAGAGAUUAAAGAGUACUAGCCUGGUCCAUUAUUUAGAAUAAUACAGCCUGUUGGCUUAUUCAUUACAGAGACGGAAAUAACAUAGAUCUUCCACUAUCAGCUGGAAAUAACACAACAGGCAAAGGCAGAUUUGGCUGAUCAUUAUCAUCAACCACAACUAGACGUUGGACGCCAUCCACAUUAGAAACGCCAACGUCUUUGCAGAGUGUAUCGCAAGAACCAUUAACAAGUGUUGAACAAUGAACAAUUUUGUAUAGACAGGGAAUGUCUAGUGCUAUUUUCAUAUCAAAUAUUGAUGCACUAACUUUCUCAAGUUUAAAAAAAUUUUGACACGUUUUACCUUCACCGAUUGUUAUAAACUGCUUUCCUAAUGAAGCGUUAUCGUUGUCAACUUUCCACAACGAAUCUUUGUUACACUGCUGAAGAGAAGAAACUCUUGAGAAUUUCAAUUUAAUAUUAGUGGAUUCCCGGACAAUUGUGGAAUUGUCAUACGGAAGUAAACCUAAAUUCUUUCCCCUUUUGUCCUUAGGACUUAAUUGGAUAACAUCCGUUGGACACUGUCCAUUUUUGCCUUUGUCCGCGCUAAUUCCACCGCCGGUUUUAACUCCCCAGAGUGCUGAGACAAGAUAAUACCUGUGGCUGGAGUCCACCUGGUUGCCAUAGACAUCUAAGAUAGGUUCAGAUUCUGAGGCGCCCAACUGAGGUUUUGUGGCCAAAGCAAGUAUAAGGAAGGAGAGUGUUGUUACUAAUGAAGUCUUCAUUUGUUUUUUUUUUUUUUUUGAGGAUAGCUGCUGUUUGUUUUGUGAUCAAUUCGGUAUUCCAGUGUUUGAAUUUAUAGAGAGCUAGAUUUAAUAGCUGAUAAGGUCUUUGUGGUAGCUGCUUGGAUGGUCAUGUAUUAUUGAGUCUUCCUUUUUUUCAUUUUCGUAAAUUUGUCAAUUUUUGGUCAUAUGGAAAUAUAGUAUGGGUGACACAUACAUAAG